UUUGACCUCGGAUCAGGUAGGAAUACCCGCUGAACUUAAGCAUAUCAAUAAGCGGAGGAAAAGAAACCAACAGGGAUUGCCCUAGUAACGGCGAGUGAAGCGGCAACAGCUCAAAUUUGAAAUCUGGCCUCGGCCCGAGUUGUAAUUUGCAGAGGAUGCUUCUGGCGCGGUGCCUUCCGAGUUCCCUGGAACGGGACGCCACAGAGGGUGAGAGCCCCGUAUGGUCGGACACCAAGCCUGUGUGAAGCUCCUUCGACGAGUCGAGUAGUUUGGGAAUGCUGCUCUAAAUGGGAGGUAAAUCUCUUCUAAAGCUAAAUACCGGCCAGAGACCGAUAGCGCACAAGUAGAGUGAUCGAAAGAUGAAAAGCACCUUGAAAAGGGGGUUAAAUAGUACGUGAAAUUGUUGAAAGGGAAGCACUUGUGACCAGACUUGGGCCGGGCGGCUCAUCAGGGGUUCUCCCCUGUGCACUCCGCCCGGCACAGGCCAGCAUCGGUUCUCGUGGGGGGAUAAGACCGUCAGGAACGUAGCACCCUCCGGGGUGUGUUAUAGCCUGGCGGACGAUACCCCCGUGGGGACCGAGGUUCGCGCUCCGCAAGGAUGCUGGCGUAAUGGUCACCAGUGACCCGUCUUGAAACACGGACCAAGGAGUCGUCCAUUAGAGCGAGCGUUUGGGUGUAAAACCCGCACGCGUAAUGAAAGUGAACGCAGGUGAGAGCUUCGGCGCAUCAUCGACCGAUCCUGAUGUUCUCGGAAGGAUUUGAGUAAGAGUUUUAACGGACGGACCCGAAAGACAGUGAACUAUGCUUGUAUAGGGUGAAGCCAGAGGAAACUCUGGUGGAGGCUCGCAGCGGUUCUGACGUGCAAAUCGAUCGUCAAAUAUGAGCAUGGGGGCGAAAGACUAAUCGAACUGUCUAGUAGCUGGUUACCGCCG
Molecule: ribosomal RNA, 932 nt
Filed under: Diaporthe eucalyptorum
Lineage: Eukaryota; Fungi; Ascomycota; Sordariomycetes; Diaporthales; Diaporthaceae
Description: eukaryotic LSU rRNA
Rfam family: Eukaryotic large subunit ribosomal RNA
Source: RNAcentral